CUGACCUAUGAAUUGACAGCCAGUG
This 25-nucleotide microRNA is filed under the name Eptesicus fuscus (big brown bat). RNAcentral describes it as "efu-miR-192". Its record names the gene efu-miR-192. The record is from miRBase by way of RNAcentral. Lineage: Eukaryota; Metazoa; Chordata; Mammalia; Chiroptera; Vespertilionidae.